This is a long non-coding RNA of Anguilla rostrata (American eel), 2597 nucleotides long. RefSeq lists it as uncharacterized. Lineage: Eukaryota; Metazoa; Chordata; Actinopteri; Anguilliformes; Anguillidae. The record is from RefSeq and is a predicted model, not a curated record. The transcript has 3 exons.
CGCGAUUCUCAGUUUAACAGACGCGGCCACAGAUCUGGAACCUCGUAAGGCACAAGCUGGCCCGUAUCGGUGAUGGAGAAGAGGAAUGAGGCAGUUAGGCUGGCCAAUGCUGUGCUCUUCUGGCACAUCCAUCAAGUUACAAUCCAUUCCUCUCGUCCUCGAGCGUGCCCCCACAAAGAAGGUUUCUCCAGUGGAAAACAUCCACAUCGGAGCCUUAACCCUCUAAUCCAGCUGGGACGGAAACGGGUUCUUUAACAGUGUUCAGCUGUCACUGCCACAUCAUUGAUCUCUCCGGAGUCACUGUCUCGGACAGCCACCGUAGACGCGGGCACGGAGAUGUGUUAUGAGCAGGGGAGCUUAACUAGGCGGCUCUCUCAUGAGUGAUACAGGGUCCCUGUACUGUUCCAGCCCCGUACAUCGCAUAGCUGUCCUGCGAACACUCAUCACAGAGUUCCCUGCAGGUACACCAAAAUGUUUAUUCUCCAUCUUUGACCUAUCAUCUCCUGAAUGGCAUUUCCAGUCCUGUAGCCCUCCAGUGGUUCCACAAACUGACGGCCAACAGAAGGCCCGGACAGCCUUACGUUAUUUACUUUUAAUCAGCUUCUUUAUAAAAAAAAAAUGACCUCCACAUUUCCCUUAUGAUAUCAUUUACGGAUUUGUAUAAUACACGUGUGUACAUAUAUACAUAUGUAUACAUUUUAAUUUAUAAUGCGCGUGACCUGACCUGUAAUAAAUAGCUUGCUUACUAAUUGUACUUCAGCACCUGUGCUGUAACACUGAAAGCAGUAAAAUGAGGUUUGAUAUGCUCAUCCUAAAUGUGAAAAAUACAGGGUGGCUCCGUAAAAAACCUAUGAAGAGAUCUAAAUGCAUGCAUUCUUUUCCUGCACGCAGCUGCCUUAGAUUACAAUAAUUCCGACUGCAUGUGAAUACAUUCUCUAAAUCUUUGGUGGUCCCCCCCCACACAAUAAAGACCCCACAGCACGGGCCAGAUGGCAAGGCAUGCCUCUAAGAAACGCUGCAAUAAUCCCAUUCUAACAUAUGGCAGGGUACAUCCAGUGGAGGAUCCCUGUGUAACCACCGAACUCUACGGUACAUCGUGUGAAACGACCCCCCUCUCUCCUCUGAUGUGUUAUGUAAUGCUCUGAGUUCUAUUAUCUGCGGUCCGUUCUCUGUCCCACACACACGUUAUCUGACCCCUCUCUAGAUUCCGAGAGUAUAACAUCACAUUAAUCAUGGUUUUAUGGGAGAUAAAGUUUUUUUUAAUUUUUAUAAAUAGUGUGCUUGGCACAUCCUAGGUUCCAGAGACUAAAAAAAAAAAACAUCAAAAUGAAACAGUGAUGUAAAUAAAAACAUGGAUAACAAAACUGUAGCACAGGAUUACCCUGAGGCAUGAUAGGUUAAGUGUGUAGUUGCUGGGGAAAAAAAAAACAUCAAGAGACUGACCUAUAGGCAUAUAUCACACACAUAUCACACACAUACAUUUAAGAAUACUGCCGUCCAGGUGUCACCUUAGGAUUCUUAAGGGGGCUGAUGAAAAGUCGCUCAAAUGUACAAAACAAAAUGCAUGCAAAAAUAUUCGUCUGAAGAAACAAUUUUCCACUUAAAGGAGAAAAAAAAAAAGCGGUUCUAAAAUCUAUAAAUAGGUGGUGUUGAAGCUGAUGUGAUAUGAAGGCAUUAGUAUGGUACGAGCAGCACAGUGAGACUCAGCCCUGACUAAAAAGGGAAGUAAACAACUUUCGGUUAAUUUUAUGGAGCUUGUAAGGAGCUUUGAGCCACCAUAUUAACCCCAGCCUCUACAGCCCUGCAGCUAGGCCCACGUGCAGCCUGCCAGCCGUAGGUAAUGGCUCCAGGAAUAAUGUUACUCUUAUGCAGUCAUCACUAAUUUAAGUCUGUCUGAGGAGCAAAGUGGGGGGAGGGGGGCGGGCAGAUUUGGCUGUUUAAUUUUAUCAUGAGUUUGCACUGUGUGGGACACUUUGAUUUCAACUAUGAAUCCCAAUGGAUACCCACGGUAUCCAAUCCUGACCUUGCCACCCAGCAAGGUGACACAGGACUGGCUGCAGUUGCACACAAGGAGGUUGGGUUUCAAAUUCAGUUAUUAGGGCUGUUGCUGUCUCAACAAACAACAUAACUUCUCUGAUUGGUUGAGUAUGACUCAAUUCAAUUAAAUUUUACUUGUCUACUCAUGAGCUCCAUCGCUACAUUUUGGUUGCAAAACCCAAAUUUAAUCUACUUUUGUAAUUAGAUUAACAAGACCAGGUCAAAACCUAGUAUGUGGCUGGACCGAACCGGCCGACCAAUGGUGUAACUUCAUCACUCAGUCACUCAGUCACAGACAUGCGUGGUGUAACUUCAUCACUCAGUCAGUCAGACAUUCGCGUUUAUAGGGCUGGCCCCGCUGUUGCGGUCCAGCCAAAAAUAGGGCUUACUGUACGUACCAUCGUCGUCUCCGCAAUUGAGCCAAAGCUGUUGAUGAAUAUGUUACACGACACGUUCACAGGGGGACCUAGGAAACAGAGCCAUAAUCAGCUUAACGGCAGGUAUGAAUGAAAGCAAUAACACAGGAACUGCACAGGCAUUCCCAACAGAUUAAAAAAACA